AAAGGUAAGCUACUAAGAGCGAAUGGUGGAUGCCUUGACUGGUAAAGGCGAUGAAGGACGUACUAGACUGCGAUAAGCUACGGGGAGCUGUCAAGAAGCUUUGAUCCGUAGAUUUCCGAAUGGGGCAACCCAAUGUAUAGAGAUAUACAUUACCUAUAUAGGAGCGAACGAGGGGAAUUGAAACAUCUUAGUACCCUCAGGAAAAGAAAUCAAUAGAGAUUGCGUCAGUAGCGGCGAGCGAAAGCGCAAGAGGGCAAACCCAGUGCUUGCACUGGGGGUUGUAGGACUGCAAUGUGCAAGAGCUGAGUUUAGCAGAACAUUCUGGAAAGUAUAGCCAUAGAGGGUGAUAGUCCCGUAUGCGAAAAACAAAGCUUAGCUAGCAGUAUCCUGAGUAGGGCGGGACACGAGAAAUCCUGUCUGAAUCCGGGUCGACCACGAUCCAACCCUAAAUACUAAUACCAGAUCGAUAGUGCACAAGUACCGUGAGGGAAAGGUGAAAAGAACUGAGGUGAUCAGAGUGAAAUAGAACCUGAAACCAUUUGCUUACAAUCAUUCAGAGCCCUAUGUAGCAAUACAGGGUGAUGGACUGCCUUUUGCAUAAUGAGCCUGCGAGUUGUGGUGUCUGGCAAGGUUAAGCAAACGCGAAGCCGUAGCGAAAGCGAGUCUGAAUAGGGCGCUUAGUCAGAUGCUGCAGACCCGAAACGAAGUGAUCUAUCCAUGAGCAAGUUGAAGCUAGUGUAAGAACUAGUGGAGGACUGAACCCAUAGGCGUUGAAAAGCCCCGGGAUGACUUGUGGAUAGGGGUGAAAGGCCAAUCAAACUUCGUGAUAGCUGGUUCUCUCCGAAAUAUAUUUAGGUAUAGCGUUGUGUCGUAAUAUAAGGGGGUAGAGCACUGAAUGGGCUAGGGCAUACACCAAUGUACCAAACCCUAUCAAACUCCGAAUACCUUAUAUGUAAUCACAGCAGUCAGGCGGCGAGUGAUAAAAUCCGUCGUCAAGAGGGAAACAACCCAG
RNAcentral lists this ribosomal RNA (1012 nucleotides) under Campylobacter jejuni. RNAcentral's name for it is "partial 23S ribosomal RNA". It matches the Rfam family "Bacterial large subunit ribosomal RNA", at positions 1 to 1030 of the family's 2925-position model. Lineage: Bacteria; Pseudomonadati; Campylobacterota; Epsilonproteobacteria; Campylobacterales; Campylobacteraceae. The record is from RNAcentral.